AAAAAAGGGGAACUACCACUGAGAACUAAGUUGUGACUGAGGAUGUCUUCCUGCAGAAUUCCUGUUCAUCCCUCAAAGCUCCUGCGAAAGAUUCACUCUCCCUGUCUUCUCAGAUGCUCCAGGAGGAUUUGAUCUCACUCACUGAGGAGUGGUCUGAACUUUUCUCAUAUGAUUAUGAACACAAGAAGAGGAGGCCAGACCAGUUAAAAGGCACACUGGAAAAAGUAAUAAAAUGAAAACAUGAUAGAAAAAUAAAGCUUCA
This 262-nucleotide long non-coding RNA is filed under the name Rattus norvegicus (Norway rat). RNAcentral's name for it is "long non-coding RNA NONRATT033060". Lineage: Eukaryota; Metazoa; Chordata; Mammalia; Rodentia; Muridae. The record is from RNAcentral.